Long non-coding RNA from Hemicordylus capensis (graceful crag lizard), 927 nucleotides. RefSeq lists it as uncharacterized. The transcript is spliced from 3 exons. The record is from RefSeq and is a predicted model, not a curated record. NCBI's taxonomy places the organism in Eukaryota, Metazoa, Chordata, Lepidosauria, Squamata, Cordylidae.
AUGUUACUGCUGACUGCCAUAACUGAUCAGGAGGUUAUGGUUAUGGGUUAUCACCAAUAAUUUCUUCAACACCAUUACCUAGAAUAACAAAUAGGAUUAGGCAACUUUCCCCCCAAAAAAGAUUUCAAGAUUUUAUUACUAAAUUUUUAAUGAUGUAUUACUAAAUUUUGACUGCGUACUCAUCUCACACUCAGAUGUACUGCCAGGACAACAGAUGUUUAGUAGGGCAGAAUGUAACCCCUUUAAGGAUUAAAACAUUAAUGAUAUAGGCUUGCCCAGUAGGUGGGCUGCAAGAUGAGUAGGACCUACCAUAUAUGGUUUUUUAAAAGCCCUGUCUUCAGAGGAUACAGAGGCCUGCAGAAGAAGGUCACUGGCUAGAGAGUUCCUGCGAGACUAGCUGGUUAUCAAAGCCUAUACUUAUUAAUUUCUGGAUCCAGAGGCCUGCAGAAGAAGGUCCCUGCCUAGAGAACUAGGUGGUUGAGAAGCCUCCAAUACAAGAAGAGGGACCAGCAACAUCAGACUGCAUCUCAACACCAGCCAAGAAAGAUCAAGAUAUAGAACUGUGAGGUUCCAGAUUUUGGUGGGACUUUAAUAGGAGAGAAAGAACUCUCAAACAACCCAACAACUAAAACCCUCAGUUCGGGAUGCACGAGUCUGAGGAAGUCUCUGUAACUUUCUUUUUGAAAAUCCUGUUUCCUUGUAUCAAGAAAAGAAACAGUUUUUGCAUAGGACACCAGGUACAAUGUUUGGGAAUGACAGGUUUGGCUUCUUCUCCAGUCCUUAUGCUGGUUUGAACUGUUUCUGCAAAUAAUGAAGACAGAGGCUGACAUGAUGCACCACAUCUCAUCCAUGUUGAUGCCACCUUGGGGUUCUACAGACUCAUAAGGCAGUCCAGAAUCUUUAUUAUUACAGUCACUGACGAGCAGA